This 515-nucleotide ribosomal RNA is filed under the name uncultured bacterium. RNAcentral's name for it is "bacterial SSU rRNA". It matches the Rfam family "Bacterial small subunit ribosomal RNA", at positions 31 to 518 of the family's 1533-position model. The record is from RNAcentral.
GAACGCUGGCGGCGUGCCUAAUACAUGCAAGUCGAACGGUCUUUCUAUGGAAGCUUGCUUCCGCUGAGAAGAUAGUGGCGAACGGGUGAGUAACACGUGGGUAACCUGCCCAUAAGAGGGGGAUAACAUCCGGAAGCGGGUGCUAAUACCGCAUAGUUUUCUUGAUCGCAUGAUCGGGAAAGAAAAGACGGCCUUUGUGCUGUCGCUUAUGGAUGGACCCGCGGCGCAUUAGUUAGUUGGUGAGGUAACGGCUCACCAAGACGAUGAUACGUAGCCGACCUGAGAGGGUGAUCGGCCACAUUGGGACUGAGACACGGCCCAAACUCCUACGGGAGGCAGCAGUAGGGAAUCUUCCGCAAUGGACGAAAGUCUGACGGAGCAACGCCGCGUGAGUGAAGAAAAGGUUUUCGGAUCGUAAAACUCUGUUGUCAGAGAAGAACAAGUUGGAGAGUAACUGCUCCAGCCUUGACGGUAUCUGACCAGAAAGCCACGGCUAACUACGUGCCAGCCGCCGC